GACGAACGCUGGCGGCGUGCUUAACACAUGCGAGUCGAACGGAAAGGCCCUGCUUGCAGGGUGCUCGAGUGGCGAACGGGUGAGUAACACGUGGGUGAUCUGCCCCUUACUUUGGGAUAAGCCUGGGAAACUGGGUCUAAUACUGGAUAGGACCAUGCUGUAGGUGGUGUGGUGGAAAGAUUAGUUUCGGUAAGGGAUGAGCUCGCGGCCUAUCAGCUUGUUGGUGGGGUAAUGGCCUACCAAGGCGUCGACGGGUAGCCGGCCUGAGAGGGUGGACGGCCACAUUGGGACUGGGAUACGGCCCAGACUCCUACGGGAGGCAGCAGUGGGGAAUAUUGCACAAUGGGCGCAAGCCUGAUGCAGCGACGCCGCGUGGGGGAUGACGGCCUUCGGGUUGUAAACUCCUUUCAGCCAUGACGAAGCCCUUGUGGUGACGGUAGUGGUAGAAGAAGCACCGGCUAACUACGUG
This 469-nucleotide ribosomal RNA is filed under the name uncultured bacterium. RNAcentral's name for it is "partial 16S ribosomal RNA". It matches the Rfam family "Bacterial small subunit ribosomal RNA", at positions 28 to 507 of the family's 1533-position model. The record is from RNAcentral.